AUAAAGCCAUCCAGAACACAUAAAUACACCUAAGAGACAUUUAAAUGUAAUUUUAAUAUGAAAAUUUGGAAUUUUAACUCUAUAAAUUGAUCAUAUAAUUUACUAUUUCUACAUGCAAGCGUGGAAAAACAUGGCUGAAAUUUUAAAGUUUGUUUAUUUUCUAAUUAUUUUUCUUUUCGUAUGUAUCAUUGUAGACGGUAAGUUCAUUUUCUAAAAAAUGUAAAAGAAAUUUUUUCUCAAUAUUAUUCACAUGUUUCACUUCAUAUUAUUAACAUUUAUUUAUUUUAUUUGAUGUCACAGGAGUUUAUUUUUGCGAAAAAGAUAAAGAUUGUCCUAUACCUAUGUGUUUCCCAAACGAAAAUCCAAAGUGCGUAAAAAUGAUUUGUCGUUGUGUGUAAUAGUAGAAAUAAUGUUUGAAAAUGGCUCAAUGGUUUUCCUAAUAUUAUGUUUUUUUAUUUAAAAUAUAUGUUGUAUUUUUAUGAUUUCUCACACAGUUCAAUCUUUGUUCGUCAACUUUAAAUUUAUUUGAUUGAGUCAAAAGCAUAUUAUUGUAUUAUACAAGUGUUGUUACAUUGUUUUCGUCCUCAGAGGAUAUUGAUAAUAAUAUCAUUAUACAAUUAAAACUAUUUUUCUUUCCAUUGAGCGUAAGAUUAGUGUGUGAUAUUAUUACAUAUGUGUUGGAGUGAACCUUGUAGAUAAUCAAGUGUAUUAUGACUUAUGGGACUAAACUAUAAGCUUAACUCAAACACU
RNAcentral lists this long non-coding RNA (750 nucleotides) under Lathyrus oleraceus (garden pea). RNAcentral describes it as "Pisum sativum (pea) long non-coding RNA (PSAT_LNC000274)". The record is from RNAcentral. Lineage: Eukaryota; Viridiplantae; Streptophyta; Magnoliopsida; Fabales; Fabaceae.